This 1497-nucleotide ribosomal RNA is filed under the name uncultured Bordetella sp. RNAcentral's name for it is "partial 16S-23S ribosomal RNA intergenic spacer". It matches the Rfam family "Bacterial small subunit ribosomal RNA". Lineage: Bacteria; Pseudomonadati; Pseudomonadota; Betaproteobacteria; Burkholderiales; Alcaligenaceae. The record is from RNAcentral.
GGUUUGAUCAUGGCUCAGAUUGAACGCUGGCGGGAUGCUUUACACAUGCAAGUCGAACGGCAGCACGGACUUCGGUCUGGUGGCGAGUGGCGAACGGGUGGAGAAUGUAUCGGAACGUGCCUAGUAGCGGGGGAUAACUACGCGAAAGCGUAGCUAAUACCGCAUGGGUACGCCCUUCGGGGGAAAGCGGGGGACCUUUCGGGCCUCUUGCACUAUUAGAGCGGCCGAUAUCGGAUUAGCUAGUUGGUGGGUAACGGUCACCGCGACGAUCCGUAGCUGGUUUGAGAGGACGACCAGCCACACUGGGACUGAGACACGGCCCAGACUCCUACGGGAGGCAGCAGGUGGGGAAUUUUGGACAAUGGGGGAAACCCUGAUCCAGCCAUCCCGCGUGUGCGAUGAAGGCCUUCGGGUUGUAAAGCACUUUUGGCAGGAAAGAAACGGCACGUGGGAUAAUACCCCGUGCAACUGACGGUACCUGCAGAAUAAGCACUGGCUAACUACGUGCCAGCAGCCGCGGUAAUACGUAGGGUGCAAGCGUUAAUCGGGAUUACUGGGCGUAAAGCGUGCGCAGGCGGUUCGGAAAGAAAGAUGUGAAAUCCCAGAGCUUAACUUUGGAACUGCAUUUUUAACUACCGAGCUAGAGUGUGUCAGAGGGAGGUGGAAUUCCGCGUGUAGCAGUGAAAUGCGUAGAUAUGCGGAGGAACACCGAUGGUAUGAAGGCGGUGCCUCCUGAUAACACUGACGCUCAUGCACGAAAGCGUGGGGAGUAAACAGGAUUAGAUAAUUCUGGUAGUCCACGCCCUAAAACGAUGUCAACUAGCUGUUGGGGCCUUCGGGCCUGGUAGCGCAGCUAACGCGUGAAGUUGACCGCCUGGGGAGUACGGUCGCAAGAUUAAAACUCAAAGGAAUUGACGGGGACCCGCACAAGCGGUGGAUGAUGUGGAUUAAUUCGAUGCAACGCGAAAAACCUUACCUACCCUUGACAUGUCUGGAAUCCCGAAGAGAUUUGGGAGUGCUCGCAAGAGAACCGGAACACAGGUGCUGGGCAUGGCUGUCGUCACCGUGUCGAGAUGCUGGGUUAAGUCCCGCAACGAGGCGCAACCCUUGUCAUUAGUUGCUACGAAAGGGCACUCUAAUGAGACUGCCGGUGACAAACCGAGGAAGGUGGGGAUGACGUGUCAAGUCCUCAUGGCCCUUAUGGGUAGGGCUUCACACGUCAUACAAUGGUCGGGGCAGAGGGUCGCCAACCCGCGAGGGGGAGCCAAUCCCAGAAACCCGAUCGUAGUCCGGAUCGCAGUCUGCAACUCGACUGCGUGAAGUCGUGAAUCGCCAGUAAUCGCGGAUCAGCAUGUCGCGGUGAAUACGUUCCGGGUCUUGUACAUAACUGCCCGUCACACCAUGGGAGUGGGUUUUACCAGAAGUAGUUAGCCUAACCGUAAGGAGGGCGAUUACCACGGUAGGAUUCAUGACUGGGGUGAAGUCGUAACAAGGUAA